Molecule: non-coding RNA, 144 nt
Organism: Gossypium hirsutum (cotton)
Lineage: Eukaryota; Viridiplantae; Streptophyta; Magnoliopsida; Malvales; Malvaceae
Source: Rfam
CGUUAAAAUUUCAUCUAUUUAUAUUGUUCAAAACUGAUAUUGUUGAUGAUUUCAUAAUAUAGUGAUACAUAGCGUGUCAUGACUAUCUCAUAUUAAUGUAUAUGGACUUAUUUUUAAUCGUAAAAAUAGAUGAAAUUUUUAAUA